Molecule: ribosomal RNA, 415 nt
Filed under: uncultured bacterium
Lineage: Bacteria
Description: bacterial SSU rRNA
Rfam family: Bacterial small subunit ribosomal RNA
Source: RNAcentral
UGAGGAAUAUUGGUCAAUGGGGGCAACCCUGAACCAGCCAAGUCGCGUGAAGGAUGAAGGUCUUAUGGAUUGUAAGCUUCUUUUAUACAGGAAUAAAUUGGGGGACGUGUCCCCUUUUGUAUGUACUGUAUGAAUAAGGAUCGGCUAACUCCGUGCCAGCAGCCGCGGUAAUACGGAGGAUCCGAGCGUUAUCCGGAUUUAUUGGGUUUAAAGGGUGCGCAGGCGGGAUGUUAAGUCGGCGGUGAAAUUUUGCAGCUCAACUGUAAAAGUGCCUUCGAUACUGGCCUCCUUGAGUGUGGAUGAAGUAGGCGGAAUUUGUGGUGUAGCGGUGAAAUGCUUAGAUAUCACGAGGAACUCCCAUUGCGCAGGCAGCUUACUAAGCCACAACUGACGCUCAUGCACGAAGGCGUGGGGA